GGCUUCUCAAGAAAUCAAAAUUCCCUGGAGAUCAGAUUUCCCAAAUUAAAGGGAGACACGGAGAGAAAAAAUUGUGGUUGAAAUACUUCUUUCUCUCGAAAAAUACUUCCCAAGUUCUAAGGAUUUUCUAGACUUUUCAUCUUGAAUCUUCUCUGAGGAAGACGGGGUUCUUAGGGUUAAUUCGUUGCGAAUAUUUUCAUACUUGUUUCAGGUUUGCGAUUAGGGCAUAUAAAUUCUCGAUCUGGUUGCCGAUUUUUUAUGAUCUGGAAACCAACACGGAGAAAUUAUCGACCGAUCUUUAAUUCUUAAUUCUUAGGGUUUUAUUUCUUUUGCUAAGUCUUCGAUUCGAUAUUGUUGUACCAUGAACGAUCAGAAUCCGAUGAUUAAUCAAGCUCAAAUGAUUAGUAUGAGCCAUCCGCAGAUGGCAAACCAGCCUCAUGUAAUCAAUCAGUCUCAAGUUAUGAGCCAGCCUCAGUCUCAAGUUAUGAAUCAGCCGCAGGUGAUUAACCAACCUCAAUUUCUCAGCCAAAGCCAGCUAAUGAUCCAUCCUCAGAUAAUGUCUCAGUCGCAGGCCAUCAAUCAGCCAAAUCUUUUGCCGCAACCUCAGGCUAUGCAGCAGUCCCAGAUGAUCAUGAAUCAGUCUCAGCCGCCUAUGAUGAGUGGAAACUACAAGGUAUGGGCACGCCCGCAGCUCCCCUUGGAUCCUAACAAGAAGUAUCGCAACUUCUCGAAGCCUAACUAUGGAAACAUGAAGCAACCGAGGUCAGGGCGAGGCAAUUGGAAGGGAAAGGGCGUUAGUGACAAAAGGAUAAACAAUAGGAGAACGGAUAAACUCUUACCGGGUUCCAUAAGUGGUGGAAAUAACGCUGGAGGAUAUCAACCUCCAAGUCUUCACGAGUUGCAGUCUCAAAAUCGUAUUAAGGCUCGAAAAUUUUACUCAAAAAAGAAAUUUAGUAAUAGGUUCGCGCCUUAUGCGCCACGGAAUACUACGUCUUUUAUAAUUCGUGCCAAGAAGUUCGGUGGAAUAGCUUCACUUGUGUCUCCUUGUCCCGUAACACCAGCUGUGCUUCCUACUCCUAUGUUCUCCCCUUCGAGGGAGGCUUUGGGUGAUAUGGCCAAGGAGGAGUGGGGCGUUGAUGGCUAUGGAUCAAUGAAAGGGUUGAUAAGGCUCAGAGGGUCUGAGAACAAGGCGGAAGUGCAUGAGGAUGAAGAAGAGGAAGGCAGUGGUGGGUCGAGUGAUAGUGAUGUGGAGGAGCAUCUGGAGGUAGAACGCAGAUUGGACCAUGACUUGAGCCGAUUUGAAAUGAUAUACCAGAACUAUGGAGUUGAGUAUAAUAACUGUUUGGAGAAUAGGGUCGAUGAUCAGGAUAGCCAUAUAGCUCAGUUAGAGGAGGAGAACUUGACACUGAAAGAGAGGCUUUUCCUUAUGGAGAGAGAGAUUGGUGAUUUGAGGAGGAAGUUGCAACUUCUUGAGGGGCAAAACCCAGCUAUUGACGAUGUGAAUGAGGAGGUAGUGGAGAACGUAUCUGAGAAUGAAAGUGAUGGAGGGUUGGAGAUGGAGUAUGCAUCUGAGAUUAGAGCAAACCAAGAUGUUGAUGUUGACGACGAAGAAGCGUUAGAUAUUGAGGGUGGGGAGAAAUGUGCUGGGGAAUCUGUUACGGGAGGGAGAAUGGUUGAAGAGAAAUGCACGGUGAAGAAUGAAAUGGUGAAGGAAUCAGAUGAACUGAUUCUGGAGGACAAUGUUGCAAAAUAUGAAGAAAUAGAAAUGAAGAGUGAAUUUGUAUCGGGAAAGGUAAAUGAAUGCGAGGAUAUGGAUGAAAAUUUGGGUAGUACUUUGCACUUGGAUUCAGGGUUUGGAAAAGAAGCCACGGUCAAUGAUGAAGAGCAGAGAAGAGUUGUACCAGUAAACGUAGUUGCAGAUGUAAAGGAUUCAGACUGUGGAGAAUCAAACGAGGAUGUAUCAGGAAACGACUGUUAAUGAUAGGCCAACUUCGAGAGAAGUGCUUGGAUAAGUGAUUAAUUUUGUGUAAAUGUUAUCAAAGAAUCGGUGAACUUUAUGGUGCGUCAAUCACGAUGCAGUGGUCUGUGGUGUGCAUACAAUUUUCUUAAUGUAAUUGCCAUACUUGUUCUUUAUCUGUUUUGGAAUAAUCUAAAUCAAAUGCAUUUUUAAACUAACUGUGUAGUUGUAUUUUUAUUUUGGUUAUGUAAUGAAUUAUGCACUAGUCUUCUCAUAGUUUUCCUUUCUAUGAUUGUGGUUUUAACUCUAACAUUCAUCAAAACAAGCGGGUUGCAGUCAUCUGGUAAAGGAUACCUGAAAUGUGGAAAUCAGGUGCAGAUCACCCAACUUCUUAAGUUGGUUUCUCCUAUCAUCUUAGUCUCUGCUAACUCUGAUUCUUGAAGUGUCUUUCAGAUCUCACUUCUUGAGAUUUGCAAUUCUUGUGCUAAUGGUAAUUUGCCCACUUCGGUUCCGUGUAUUUGACAUAUCCUUAUUUCCUCGAGCAGUUAGUGGAAGUUUUAGUGUGCAUCCCAGGAAGAAUAUUGUGAACUGUUUUGUGCCUUUCCAUCAUCAGUUAUUUUGACAGUCAUCUUUAUCAUUUCUACGAUGGCUGAACGGGAUGUUUAGAAAUAACGAUUGAAAGGUAUAAGACGCAAGAUUUGCGUGCAUGAUGCGUUUGCUGUCUGGAAAA
This is a non-coding RNA of Momordica charantia (bitter melon), 2687 nucleotides long. The record is from RefSeq and is a predicted model, not a curated record. NCBI's taxonomy places the organism in Eukaryota, Viridiplantae, Streptophyta, Magnoliopsida, Cucurbitales, Cucurbitaceae.